Molecule: transfer RNA, 74 nt
Filed under: Arabidopsis lyrata subsp. lyrata
Lineage: Eukaryota; Viridiplantae; Streptophyta; Magnoliopsida; Brassicales; Brassicaceae
Description: tRNA tRNA-Ile
Rfam family: tRNA
About the family: Transfer RNA (tRNA) molecules are approximately 80 nucleotides in length. Their secondary structure includes four short double-helical elements and three loops (D, anti-codon, and T loops).
Source: Rfam by way of RNAcentral
GGCCUAUUAGCUCAGUUGGUUAGAGCGUCGUGCUAAUAACGCGAAGGUCACAGGUUCGAUCCCCGUAUAGGCCA